This 279-nucleotide ribosomal RNA is filed under the name uncultured bacterium. RNAcentral describes it as "partial 16S ribosomal RNA". It matches the Rfam family "Bacterial small subunit ribosomal RNA", at positions 524 to 796 of the family's 1533-position model. The record is from RNAcentral.
UACGGGGGGUGCGAGCGUUAAUCGGAAUAACUGGGCGUAAAGGGCACGCAGGCGGUGACUUAAGUGAGAUGUGAAAGCCCCGGGCUUAACCUGGGAAUUGCAUUUCAUACUGGGUCGCUAGAGUACUUUAGGGAGGGGUAGAAUUCCACGUGGUAGCGGUGAAAUGCGUAGAGAUGAUGGAGGAAUACCGAAGGCGAAGGCAGCCCCUUGGGAAUGUACUGACGCCUGCAUGUGCGAAAGCGUGGGGAGCAAACAGGAUUAAGAUACCCCGGUGAGUCC